Molecule: ribosomal RNA, 492 nt
Filed under: uncultured bacterium
Lineage: Bacteria
Description: partial 16S ribosomal RNA
Rfam family: Bacterial small subunit ribosomal RNA
Source: RNAcentral
AGUGAACGCUGGCGGUAGGCCUAACACAUGCAAGUCGAACGGCAGCACAGUAAGAGCUUGCUCUUACGGGUGGCGAGUGGCGGACGGGUGCGGAAUACAUCGGAAUCUACUUUUUCGUGGGGGAUAACGUAGGGAAACUUACGCUCAUACCGCAUACGACCUGCGGGUGAAAGCAGGGGAUCUUCGGACCUUGCGCGAUUGAAUGAGCCGAUGUCGGAUUAGCUAGUUGGCGGGGUAAAGGCCCACCAAGGCGACGAUCCGUAGCUGGUCUGAGAGGAUGAUCAGCCACACUGGAACUGAGACACGGUCCAGACUCCUACGGGAGGCAGCAGUGGGGAAUAUUGGACAAUGGGCGCAAGCCUGAUCCAGCCAUGCCGCGUGGGUGAAGAAGGCCUUCGGGUUGUAAAGCCCUUUUGUUGGGAAAGAAAAGCAGCAGGUUAAUACCCCGCUGUUCUGACGGUACCCAAAGAAUAAGCACCGGCUAACUUCGUG